GAUUUGUCAUCUUUUUUUCGCUUUCACCUUCAAUUGCGAAAGGAUUUGAGAUCGGUUUUUAAUUCGCUUCUCUCUCUUCAGCAAUAUUUGAACUUCGCGUUGUAUGAAGGUUUUUACCAUUCGCAUAUUCUUGUCCAACAAAAAAAGUGAAGGGUAGCUAACAGCGAGUUGGAGGACGCUGCAGAACCGCGUGAUUGAUUCAUCUGCUAUUUGGGUG
This 217-nucleotide long non-coding RNA is filed under the name Panax ginseng (ginseng). Its description in RNAcentral is "long non-coding RNA (PGIN_LNC014881)". The record is from RNAcentral. Lineage: Eukaryota; Viridiplantae; Streptophyta; Magnoliopsida; Apiales; Araliaceae.